GUGGGUGUAGCUCAGUUGGUUAGAGUACCAGACUGUGACUCUGGGUGUCGCGGGUUCGAUCCCCGUCACCCACCCCA
Molecule: transfer RNA, 77 nt
Filed under: Pseudomonadota bacterium
Lineage: Bacteria; Pseudomonadati; Pseudomonadota
Also listed under: 2 other names
Description: Proteobacteria bacterium tRNA-His
Rfam family: tRNA
About the family: Transfer RNA (tRNA) molecules are approximately 80 nucleotides in length.
Source: RNAcentral